Molecule: long non-coding RNA, 1944 nt
Organism: Brassica napus (rape)
Lineage: Eukaryota; Viridiplantae; Streptophyta; Magnoliopsida; Brassicales; Brassicaceae
Exons: 2
Source: RefSeq, a predicted model, not a curated record
CCUUGAGCUAGGAUUGCUAGAAACAAACAACUGAUUUAGUCAAUCUAGUGAACCUAUCGAACAACUCAGUAAAGCUUGACUAGUUAAACAUCGAGCGACGCUAGUCACAUAGCGUUGAUUCACGUUCGAACUAUAUCAACAAGCGACGGCUGAGAUAUAGACUUAGAUCAAUAGGAUUUAUUCGCAUGAGGAAGCUUGAAUAUAUUGCAAUUAGAAUUUGUAUUCUAGGAUCGAAACCUUAGCAUCUAUAUCACUAUAAUCUCAAUUACCUGAAACCCUAGAUCUAGUUAUUUCUCAUAAUUGUUUACAACCUCAAAUCAAUCAAUCAAUCAACACUACAAGAAAUAUGAGUAUUGGUAGCAGUUCGCGGUAGCACUAAUUCACCAACUGCUAUUAAAAGUAGCAAUUUCGGACAACAACUUUAUCGUAGCACUAACUUAGUGCUAGGAUCAAAUUUUAUUAAAAAUAGAAACAAAAGACGUGGAUUUUGUUUAAGGUAAAAAUUUUGUGCUAAAAUUUUAAUUUUAUCCGCCAAAAAAAAAAAAAAAUACUUCGCAAAACACUUGCCCAAUUCAUUUCCCUUACUUCUCCGAAUACAUCACGGAAAAAACAAGACUACCAAAGCUCUCCCUUUUUUUCUUUUUUUUUUGAAACACACCAAAGCUCUCUGUAUUCGAAUCGUGAUAAACCUAAAAUCACAAAGUCACAAGAUCUACACACAGAGCUUGACUCAAAUCAACCUCUCACGAUUCAACCCUCUCUCUCUCUCUCUCUAGGCCGUGAUGAAAGCUUUGUCUACAACGCUUGACUCGAGUCAGAUUCGAGCCACAAUCAGAGAUGGCGAGUGACAAAUAGAGGUGGCGGAGCAGUGCCGGUGGCAAGUCGGAAGACGUCUGUCCUUCAUAAGCAGAGGACGAGAAGACGCUUCAAUGGACAACGACUCAGAUCUACUCCAUAUUCAGAUGGCUCAUCCGCCGCUGCAUCUCCGGCUUUGUCACUGCGUCUCCGUUGUGUCUCCGGCUUCGUCGCUGCGUCUCCGGACUAUCCCUCUCAGGUGGACCUUUGCUGUUAAUGGAGCUUGCGUUUUUGUUUAGAGGAGUUGGUGCUGAAGUUGUUUAGAGCACAAAUCAGAAACCAGUUGAAGCAGAUGAAGUGGUUAAUGUUUUGGAACACAAGAUGUUGGAUCGAGGAGUUUAGGUUUGAGAUUAGCUGCUGUUGAAUCUUAGGUUUUUGUUGUUGUUGUGUUGCUCUGUUCUGUGUUCUUCGCUUAGCAAUUGGCUUAUGGUUAAGUAUUUUUCUUGGUUUAAAGCUCGUGACUUUAGAAGAAGGGAAUCUGAGAUUCGUGAAGUAGUUUUUGGUUGUGUAUUGUUAGCACGCUGGUGAUGAUUACUGAUGGGUUUUCUACUUGGAUCUGCUUCUUGCUGGAGAUUAAGUUCUGAAAACGUAAACUUAUGUGUUGAUUUAUCAAGUUAUUUAGUUGGUGCUUAUGCUUUCCUAUCUUAGUCAACAGAUAUACAAAGUCGCUUCCGUAUAUCACUUUAUCAGCUGGUUUAGUUUAAGCUUGGUUUCUAGUACUUGAGUGGCUGGAACUUGUGGCGUAUAUGUUGAUUUGUGGAGUAGUAAUGAAGAUAGUCUAGAAAGUAACACUUGAAUGUCUUUGGCUAAUUGUGGAUGUUCUCUGAAUGUGUUUUAGGUGAAACUGAUCCAUUCUUCUAAGACUAUUGCUUACCUUCGGGAGUAGCUGUUUCACGACAUGGAGGAAGUGCUUGGAGGAACAAAACAUGGAGCUGCUGAAGACUAGUGGCAAAGUGAUUUUGCUAGUUUUGAAAGUUAUGUAGUAGGUUGAGUUAUUAGACGUGGUAUGUGUAUUUAAGAUAAGUUAUGCUGUACAAAAUUAUGUAGAAUAUUAUUCAAAUAAAUGAAAUAAAAUAGCAUUACAAAAUA